Molecule: long non-coding RNA, 220 nt
Filed under: Hordeum vulgare
Lineage: Eukaryota; Viridiplantae; Streptophyta; Magnoliopsida; Poales; Poaceae
Description: long non-coding RNA (HVUL_LNC018327)
Source: RNAcentral
GAGUCCUCGGAGUCGGAUGAUGUUGAUGAUGUUGAUGUUGACGUUGAUAAUGUCGAGGAAGAUGAUGCAAAUGUCGAGGCAGACGAUGGUCCAGCAGCAAAUAUCCAAGCCUCACAUGUCCGUGCGGGUGAUGAACAUGUCAUCGAGUCCCAGAUCAUGCUUACCGCUGCAUCUAACACGACCACAGGCGGCUCAGGGGAUGGUAUGUGUAGCUAGUGUG